RNAcentral lists this ribosomal RNA (775 nucleotides) under uncultured Neocallimastigales. RNAcentral's name for it is "partial large subunit ribosomal RNA". It matches the Rfam family "Eukaryotic large subunit ribosomal RNA", at positions 26 to 614 of the family's 3401-position model. The record is from RNAcentral. Lineage: Eukaryota; Fungi; Neocallimastigomycota; Neocallimastigomycetes; Neocallimastigales.
CGCAUCUGUGCAUGCAGCAUAUCAAUAAGCGGAGGAAAAGAAACUAACAAGGAUUCCCCUAGUAACGGCGAGUGAAGCGGGAAGAGCUCAAAUUUGAAAUCUUAAAGGGUUUCCCUUUACAAAUUGUAGUUUAAAGAAGUGUUUUCUGUUGAGGUUUUGGUAAAAGUUCUUUGGAAUAGGACAUCAUAGAGGGUGAGAAUCCCGUAUUUGACCUUUACUUUCAACUUUGUGAUACACUUUCAAAGAGUCGGAUUGUUUGGGAAUGCAGUCCAAAAUGGGUGGUAAAUUUCAUCUAAAGCUAAAUAUUGGCGAGAGACCGAUAGCGAACAAGUACCGUGAGGGAAAGAUGAAAAGAACUUUGAAAAGAGAGUUAAACAGUACGUGAAAUUGUCAAAAGGGAAGCGUUUGACACCAGUGUUGUUUUUCUGAAAAUCAAUUAAAGAACUGUUUAUGCUAAGCUUGUUUAGACUUUAUCAGCUAACUGUUUAGUUUUGAGCUUUUCUUUAAUGCACUUUUCAGUUAACAAGUCAACAUCAAUUUCUUUUGCUGUAAAAAAGCUUGAGGAAGGUGGCUUGAGAUUCGUCUUAAGUGUUUAUAGCCUCUUGCCUAUGCAGUCGGAGAGAUUGAGGUCUGCAGCGUAGAUCCUUCGGGGCUAAAUGCAUUUGUGCUAAGUUAUAGCAUUUUAUAGACAACUUGUUGACUAUGAUUUGUCUUGUAGCUUACUCGCUUAUGUUAUUUUACCUACGCUUAGGAUGUUGAGUCAUCACACAUCUCU